CUCAGAUUGAACGCUGGCGGCAGGCCUAACACAUGCAAGUCGAGCGGUAGAGAGAAGCUUGCUUCUCUUGAGAGCGGCGGACGGGUGAGUAAUGCCUAGGAAUCUGCCUGGUAGUGGGGGAUAACGUUCGGAAACGGACGCUAAUACCGCAUACGUCCUACGGGAGAAAGCAGGGGACCUUCGGGCCUUGCGCUAUCAGAUGAGCCUAGGUCGGAUUAGCUAGUUGGUGAGGUAAUGGCUCACCAAGGCGACGAUCCGUAACUGGUCUGAGAGGAUGAUCAGUCACACUGGAACUGAGACACGGUCCAGACUCCUACGGGAGGCAGCAGUGGGGAAUAUUGGACAAUGGGCGAAAGCCUGAUCCAGCCAUGCCGCGUGUGUGAAGAAGGUCUUCGGAUUGUAAAGCACUUUAAGUUGGGAGGAAGGGUUGUAGAUUAAUACUCUGCAAUUUUGACGUUACCGACAGAAUAAGCACCGGCUAACUCUGUGCCAGCAGCCGCGGUAAUACAGAGGGUGCAAGCGUUAAUCGGAAUUACUGGGCGUAAAGCGCGCGUAGGUGGUUUGUUAAGUUGGAUGUGAAAUCCCCGGGCUCAACCUGGGAACUGCAUUCAAAACUGACUGACUAGAGUGUGGUAGAGGGUGGUGGAAUUUCCUGUGUAGCGGUGAAAUGCGUAGAUAUAGGAAGGAAC
RNAcentral lists this ribosomal RNA (689 nucleotides) under Pseudomonas sp. RNAcentral's name for it is "bacterial SSU rRNA". It matches the Rfam family "Bacterial small subunit ribosomal RNA", at positions 23 to 707 of the family's 1533-position model. The record is from RNAcentral. Lineage: Bacteria; Pseudomonadati; Pseudomonadota; Gammaproteobacteria; Pseudomonadales; Pseudomonadaceae.